AUUGUGCAGUUGCACAGUGAAAAGCUGUGUAAAUGUCUGUUAGGUCCAUUCUGUAUAGAGUACAGUUUAACUGAUGAUGUUUUGUUGCCUGGAUGAUCUGUCCGUUCGCGAUAGUGGGGUGUUGAUUACGGUGGAGUGUUGAGUCCUUUAGGUUGUUUGAGGGACAUUCAUCAAGGAAACCGGAUAAACUUAAAACGCUCUUCCACUUCUUUGGAACAGUCACAGAGAAAAGUGAACUCCUUUCAUUCUUGCAGUAAUUUUUCUUGCUGAUGGGAACAGUUCAAGUCAAGUGACAUAACCUACUGGGUUGGUGACAUUUACAAGACAGAGUCUUGAGGAUUUUCCAGAACGGGAAAGGGAUCAUGGCACAAGCUGCAGUUUCCACCCUGCCCAUUGAAGAUGAGGAGUCCAUGGAAGAUGAGGAGUCCGUUGAAGAUGAGUCUGUUGAAGAUGAGUCCGCAGAGAGCAGGAUGGUGGUGACAUUGCUCAUAUCAGCUCUUGAGUCCAUGGAUCAUGGCACAAGUUGCAGUUUCCACUCUGCCCAUUGAAGAUGAGGAGUCUGCUGAAGAUGAGGAGACAUUGGAGAGCAGGAUGGUGGUGACAUUCCUAAUGUCAGCUCUUGAGUCCACGAGUCUCUGUUUCACCCAAUCUGGAGUGCAAUGAUGCAGUCGUAGCUAACUGCAGCCUCAACCACCUGGGCUCAAGCAAUUCUCCCGCCUCAGCCUUCCAAGCAUCUGGGACUACAGGUGCACACCAUCCAUGCCCAGCUGAUUUUUGUAUUUUUUUUGUAGAGAUGGGAUCUUGUUAUAUUGCCGAGGCUGGUCUUGAACUCUGGGGCUAAAGGAAUCCUUUCACCAUAGCCUCUCAAGUAGCUGAAACUACAGAUGCAUACCACCAUGCCCAGCUAAUUUUCUCUUAUUUCUUUUUGUUGUUUAAUUGAGGGGGGGGGUCUCACUGUGUUUCCCAGGCUGGUCCUGAACUUCUGGCCUCAAGCAUUUCUCCUGCUUUGACCUCCUAAACUGUUGGGAUUAUGGUUGUGAGCCCCGGCCUCUGUGUCCAGCAAUCACAAGAGGUCUUUAUAAGUGAAAGAGGGAGGUAAGAGAGUCAGAAUUGAAGAUUUGAUGAUGUAAGCACAGGUAACAGAGGGAGAUUUGAAUAUGCUUUGCUUCUGGCUUUGGAGAUGCAGUUAGGGGCCAUGAGCCAAAGAAUAGGGGUGGCUUUCGGAACUGGGAAAGGCAAGGGAACACGUUCUCUCUGGAACCUCCAGAAGGGAUGCAGUCCUGCUGACACCUUGACUUUAGCCUUAAUAGACCUAUUUUGGACUUCUGGCCCCCAGACCUGUUAGGUAGUAGAUUUGUGGUGUAUUAAGCCACUCAAUGUAGGGUAGUUUGUAACAGCAGCAAGAAGAAAUGAACAUGAAGCCAGGGGUAGUGGCCCACACCUAUAAUUCCAGCUAUUUAGGAGGCUGAGGCAGGAUGGUUGCUUUGGCCCAGGAGUUCAAGAUAAGCCUGGGCAACAAAGUGAUACCCUGUCUACGUGGGAAAAAAAAA
RNAcentral lists this long non-coding RNA (1550 nucleotides) under Homo sapiens (human). RNAcentral describes it as "novel transcript". Lineage: Eukaryota; Metazoa; Chordata; Mammalia; Primates; Hominidae. The record is from RNAcentral.